RNAcentral lists this ribosomal RNA (253 nucleotides) under uncultured bacterium. RNAcentral describes it as "partial 16S ribosomal RNA". It matches the Rfam family "Bacterial small subunit ribosomal RNA", at positions 524 to 776 of the family's 1533-position model. The record is from RNAcentral.
UACGAAGGGGGCUAGCGUUGUUCGGAUUUACUGGGCGUAAAGAGCUCGUAGGCGGUCUGUCGCGUCGGCUGUGAAAACCCGAGGCUCAACCUCGGGCCUGCAGUCGAUACGGGCAAACUAGAGUACUGCAGGGGAGACUGGAAUUCCUGGUGUAGCGGUGAAAUGCGCAGAUAUCAGGAGGAACACCGGUGGCGAAGGCGGGUCUCUGGGCAGUAACUGACGCUGAGGAGCGAAAGCGUGGGGAGCGAACAGG